Molecule: small nucleolar RNA, 107 nt
Organism: Dioscorea cayenensis subsp. rotundata (Guinea yam)
Lineage: Eukaryota; Viridiplantae; Streptophyta; Magnoliopsida; Dioscoreales; Dioscoreaceae
Source: RefSeq, a predicted model, not a curated record
AACCCAUGUUGCGGACACUUCCGCAAGAGGUCCUUGAAUCAUUCCCAAGUCUCAAAUAAAGAUUCAAGCUAUAUACGAACAAAUGAAGAUAUCUCAUUAGGAAGCUU